GAUGAACGCUAGCUACAGGCUUAACACAUGCAAGUCGAGGGGUAACAAGAGGAAAGCUUGCUUUUCUUGUUGACGACCGGCGCACGGGUGAGUAACGCGUAUCCAACCUGCCUAUAACUAGGGAAUAACCUUGCGAAAGUAAGACUAAUACCCUAUGAUUUCCUUUGAUGACAUCAGAUUAGGAAUAAAGAUUUAUCGGUUAUAGAUGGGGAUGCGUCUGAUUAGCUUGUUGGCGGGGUAACGGCCCACCAAGGCAACGAUCAGUAGGGGUUCUGAGAGGAAGGUCCCCCACAUUGGAACUGAGACACGGUCCAAACUACUACGGGAGGCAGCAGUGAGGAAUAUUGGUCAAUGGGCGGAAGCCUGAACCAGCCAAGUAGCGUGCAGGAUGACGGCCCUAUGGGUUGUAAACUGCUUUUAUACAGGAAUAAAGUUAGCCACGUGUGGUUAUUUGUAGGUACUGUAUGAAUAAGGACCGGCUAAUUCCGUGCCAGCCGCCGCCGUAA
This 506-nucleotide ribosomal RNA is filed under the name uncultured bacterium. Its description in RNAcentral is "partial 16S ribosomal RNA". It matches the Rfam family "Bacterial small subunit ribosomal RNA", at positions 28 to 523 of the family's 1533-position model. The record is from RNAcentral.